GCUUUGCCAUCUCAGUGGAACCUCUAAGAAAAUACUGUCGGAGAAAUAACUCUUCAGGCGGUAGUUUGUUGAACAUUAACGAGUUUGCUGCUUGCAUGCAAGGAGAGGCAGUAAACAGGGUUACUAGUGACCCUGCAAGACGAGGCUAAAGUUGGCAGUUCGUUACAUUGUUAUAUAUAAGUCAUGUUUCCUGACUGUCCCAUGACAUCUUGAUCAUAAGCCUCAGCGACACAAUACACCAAUCUUUUUAUGACAUUUACUAAUAUGUUAUUUAUUUUUAAGUUUAGCCACCAUCAACCAAGUGUGGUUUUUGCGGUUAAAGGCAUUUUGCGCUCUGCUGCAAAGUCUCACUUUUGGAGAAGCUCGGAGUGAUUGAAGGUAUCAGCUACGUGGCUAUGAGCAUGUUUAUAUUUUAAAAUUUUACUGCGUCUCAGAAUUUUCCUAGCUCUUGUUUUGACUGUCUGGAAUUUUGCAUGGUUUCUAAUGUCCAGAGCAUUCUGCCUUUUUACUGCCAUUGUAACCUUUGCUUUGCUGAUUGGGCUGUUUUGACACAUUUAACAUUAGCUUCAGCAGUGCGCACACCCAGAAAGAUGUUUCAGUCACGACUCGUGAGCUCAAAACCUCACUAACUAACCAACUUGACACAUCCUGUGCAAAAUUCCCUUGUUCUCCACAAUCCUGUGACUGGGACACGGAUUUAAACUCUGCCGGGAUAUCCCAUAAGUGGAUAAGAAGUAGAAGUUGGAAAGUCAAACUUGAAAUAGCUGCAAUAAGCACAGGACAGGAAGACAUAGGAGAAAAUAUAUGGUGUGGUGAGUGGAGAGCUUGGAGAGAGAGAGAGAGAGAGUUUGAAUCACGCUGACAGCAGGAAAAUCCUACAACAGACUGUCCCCAUGAUCUGCCCAGCUUUCUGUGCGCCGGGGAUUUCAGAGUCAGAGAAUCUUUGAGGCUAGUACAGGAGCAUUGUUUAAUAUUUUCAAACUGCAUUGCUGUCACUGUUCUUCCUUGUUUUACUCCCCUAUUUGUAAAGUCAAUGUCAGUGCUGUACCAACAUCAAAUGGCAUCAGUGAACAAGCUUAAAAUAUUUGUCUGGCUCAAGUGGAUCUGAAAUUGUGUCGGCAAGGGAGGGGGGAAAUAUAUCAAAAGCUGUUUUCAUUCACACAUUCCGACAUUGUAAAAAUGUGAAUUCUCUUUGCAUAGAUAGGAAAUGAAGACAGUUGUUUCAAGCUGAUGAAAGGAAAAUUCCAGAACUUGACGCCAGGAAAUUCCUGAGACAAUGUAACAUUUCAGCAAUGCCUGCUUUACUUUGCCAGCUUCAGAUACCUGAGAGACUUGAAUAUGCAAAAACUGAAAUAGCUUCGCCGCUGGGUUGUAGGUGCGCGUGACCUUGUUCAGGAUCAGUUGCAGAGUUAUGAAUCCGAUGUCGUGAGGUUUGUCCCAAAAUCAAGUAUUUGUGACUUGUGGCCUAUAUUAAUAUGAUGGUUUAACCUCAACAUCCUACAUAAUCCUGGUAAAAUCUGGGAACACACUAUUCGUCUUCCUAGCUGCUGGCUGACCAAGCAGGUUGGCUUCCUAUGAUUUGACCUGUGUUUUGCAGACAGCUCAGCAUAUAACGUCUUCACAAUUUACUUUCUGAUCUGUCUCUGCUGAGUCAGUUUUUAAACAAUAAAGACAGUCUUGAUCUGA
Stegostoma tigrinum is the source of this 1686-nucleotide long non-coding RNA. RefSeq lists it as uncharacterized. NCBI's taxonomy places the organism in Eukaryota, Metazoa, Chordata, Chondrichthyes, Orectolobiformes, Stegostomatidae. The record is from RefSeq and is a predicted model, not a curated record. The transcript is spliced from 2 exons.